RNAcentral lists this ribosomal RNA (443 nucleotides) under uncultured bacterium. Its description in RNAcentral is "partial 16S ribosomal RNA". It matches the Rfam family "Bacterial small subunit ribosomal RNA", at positions 338 to 795 of the family's 1533-position model. The record is from RNAcentral.
CCUACGGGUGGCUGCAGUGGGGAAUAUUGGGCAAUGGAGGCAACUCUGACCCAGCAACGCCGCGUGAAUGAUGAAGGUCUUCGGAUUGUAAAGUUCUUUUCUAAGGGAAGAAGAAAGUGACGGUACCUUAGGAAUAAGCCUCGGCUAACUACGUGCCAUCAGCCGCGGUAAUACGUAGGAGGCAAGCGUUAUCCGGAAUGACUGGGCGUAAAGGGUGCGUAGGUGGUUUGACAAGGUAGUAGCGCAACUCCGGGGCUCAACCUCGGAACUACUAUUGAAACUGUUGGACUUGAGUGCAGGAGAGGCAAGCGGAAUGCGUAGUGUAGCGGUGGAAUGCGUAGAUAUUAGGAGGAACACCAGUGGCGAAGGCGGAUUGCUAGACUGUAACUGACGCUGAGGCACGAAAGCGUGGGGAGCAAACAGGAUUAGAUACCCGGGUAGUC